UACGGGAGGCAGCAGUGGGGAAUAUUGCACAAUGGGCGCAAGCCUGAUGCAGCCAUGCCGCGUGUAUGAAGAAGGCCUUCGGGUUGUAAAGUACUUUCAGUCGUGAGGAAGGUGUUAAGGUUAAUAACCUUAGCAAUUGACGUUAGCGGCAGAAGAAGCACCGGCUAACUCCGUGCCAGCAGCCGCGGUAAUACGGAGGGUGCGAGCGUUAAUCGGAAUUACUGGGCGUAAAGGGCACGCAGGCGGUUAAUUAAGUUGGAUGUGAAAUCCCCGGGCUUAACCUGGGAAUGGCAUUCAAGACUGGUUAGCUAGAGUCUUGUAGAGGGGGUAGAAUUCCAUGUGUAGCGGUGAAAUGCGUAGAGAUGUGGAGGAUACCGGUGGCGAAGGCGGCCCCUGGACAAAGGCUGACGCUCAUGUGCGAAAGCGUGGGGAGCAAAC
RNAcentral lists this ribosomal RNA (438 nucleotides) under uncultured bacterium. RNAcentral's name for it is "bacterial SSU rRNA". It matches the Rfam family "Bacterial small subunit ribosomal RNA", at positions 340 to 773 of the family's 1533-position model. The record is from RNAcentral.